RNA transcript from Ananas comosus (pineapple), 1235 nucleotides. It is a transcript of the gene named adenine phosphoribosyltransferase 4-like, with no coding region annotated. The transcript is spliced from 8 exons. NCBI's taxonomy places the organism in Eukaryota, Viridiplantae, Streptophyta, Magnoliopsida, Poales, Bromeliaceae. The record is from RefSeq and is a predicted model, not a curated record.
CCCUCGCUUUUCUAACUCGCUUUCCUUUUCUCGUGCAGAGCGCCUCCUUCCUCCUCUCCCUCUCCCUCUCCCUCUCCUCUCUCUCUCUCUCUCUAUAUAUAUAUAUAUAUAUAAAUAUAUCCCUCUCCCCCCCACUCCUCUCUCGCUCGCUCGCUCGCUCGCUCGCUCUUGAGUCGACGUUCGUUCUUGUUAGGGUGAGAGGUGAGAGAGAGAGGGGGGGGAGAGUGGCUCCAAUGGCGACAAGCGAGGACGAGAAGCAAGAGGCGAAGAAGGACCCCCGCAUUGAAGGGAUCGCCGCCUCCAUCCGCGUCGUCCCCAAUUUCCCCAAACCAGGGAUCAUGUUCCAAGACAUCACCACCUUGCUCCUCGAUCCGAAGGCGUUCAAGAACACGGUGGAUUUGUUCGUGGAGCGCUACACUGGGAAGGACAUCUCCGUCGUCGCGGGAAUUGAGGCUAGGGGCUUCAUUUUUGGUCCUCCUAUUGCAUUAGCUAUCGGUGCGAAGUUCAUCCCAUUAAGAAAGCCAAGAAAGUUGCCAGGUGAAGUAAUUUCCGAAGAGUAUGUUCUAGAAUAUGGAACUGAUUGUCUUGAAAUGCAUGUCGGUGCUGUUAAACCUGGUGAACGUGCCUUGGUUGUUGAUGACUUGGUUGCAACUGGAGGAACUCUAUGUGCUGCCAUAAAUUUACUAGAGCGUGCUGGGGCUGAAGUGGUUGAGUGUGCAUGCGUUAUUGAACUUCCAGAACUGAAGGGUCGUGAAAGGUUAAAUGGAAAGCCAUUAUAUAUACUCGUGGAGUCCCGCUGAUGGUGGCCAUCUACAACCUCUUCAGCAGGAACUGUAUCCAAAACAUUCACAUAGAUUUGGCGUCUGCCGAACAGUGUUUCUGACUGAAUAAAUGCAGACAGCAGAAGAAUCUUACGGGAGUGGUGUUUGAAAAUCUUACAAAGGAAAACACUGUUUUGAUGCUGUCCUACGUUGGAAGGAGAGCAGAAAUGUGAGCUACAACUGCUUCUAUCCCUUUUCGCCGGAAAGCGCAGUAAGUUGUGGAUUGUCCCAAAUCAGCCUAUUCUUUUUGAAAAUAUACAAUUCUCGUCGUCUCUGUCAACUUUCUUUCGGAGAAUAAGGUUGUUUCAUUUUGGCUGACUAGUGGGAACAAACCUGCUUCUGCUUAUCGUAGUUAUUUUGUUUCCGAAUAUCUUAUUGAGUACAAAUGCAGAAUUAGAACAUUUUCCAGUCUUA